This 1520-nucleotide ribosomal RNA is filed under the name Klebsiella pneumoniae. RNAcentral describes it as "bacterial SSU rRNA". It matches the Rfam family "Bacterial small subunit ribosomal RNA". The record is from RNAcentral. Lineage: Bacteria; Pseudomonadati; Pseudomonadota; Gammaproteobacteria; Enterobacterales; Enterobacteriaceae.
AGAGUUUGAUCAUGGCUCAGAUUGAACGCUGGCGGCAGGCCUAACACAUGCAAGUCGAGCGGUAGCACAGAGAGCUUGCUCUCGGGUGACGAGCGGCGGACGGGUGAGUAAUGUCUGGGAAACUGCCUGAUGGAGGGGGAUAACUACUGGAAACGGUAGCUAAUACCGCAUAAUGUCGCAAGACCAAAGUGGGGGACCUUCGGGCCUCAUGCCAUCAGAUGUGCCCAGAUGGGAUUAGCUAGUAGGUGGGGUAACGGCUCACCCAGGCGACGAUCCCUAGCUGGUCUGAGAGGAUGACCAGCCACACUGGAACUGAGACACGGUCCAGACUCCUACGGGAGGCAGCAGUGGGGAAUAUUGCACAAUGGGCGCAAGCCUGAUGCAGCCAUGCCGCGUGUGUGAAGAAGGCCUUCGGGUUGUAAAGCACUUUCAGCGGGGAGGAAGGCGAUAAGGUUAAUAACCUUGUCGAUUGACGUUACCCGCAGAAGAAGCACCGGCUAACUCCGUGCCAGCAGCCGCGGUAAUACGGAGGGUGCAAGCGUUAAUCGGAAUUACUGGGCGUAAAGCGCACGCAGGCGGUCUGUCAAGUCGGAUGUGAAAUCCCCGGGCUCAACCUGGGAACUGCAUUCGAAACUGGCAGGCUAGAGUCUUGUAGAGGGGGGUAGAAUUCCAGGUGUAGCGGUGAAAUGCGUAGAGAUCUGGAGGAAUACCGGUGGCGAAGGCGGCCCCCUGGACAAAGACUGACGCUCAGGUGCGAAAGCGUGGGGAGCAAACAGGAUUAGAUACCCUGGUAGUCCACGCCGUAAACGAUGUCGAUUUGGAGGUUGUGCCCUUGAGGCGUGGCUUCCGGAGCUAACGCGUUAAAUCGACCGCCUGGGGAGUACGGCCGCAAGGUUAAAACUCAAAUGAAUUGACGGGGGCCCGCACAAGCGGUGGAGCAUGUGGUUUAAUUCGAUGCAACGCGAAGAACCUUACCUGGUCUUGACAUCCACAGAACUUUCCAGAGAUGGAUUGGUGCCUUCGGGAACUGUGAGACAGGUGCUGCAUGGCUGUCGUCAGCUCGUGUUGUGAAAUGUUGGGUUAAGUCCCGCAACGAGCGCAACCCUUAUCCUUUGUUGCCAGCGGUUAGGCCGGGAACUCAAAGGAGACUGCCAGUGAUAAACUGGAGGAAGGUGGGGAUGACGUCAAGUCAUCAUGGCCCUUACGACCAGGGCUACACACGUGCUACAAUGGCAUAUACAAAGAGAAGCGACCUCGCGAGAGCAAGCGGACCUCAUAAAGUAUGUCGUAGUCCGGAUUGGAGUCUGCAACUCGACUCCAUGAAGUCGGAAUCGCUAGUAAUCGUAGAUCAGAAUGCUACGGUGAAUACGUUCCCGGGCCUUGUACACACCGCCCGUCACACCAUGGGAGUGGGUUGCAAAAGAAGUAGGUAGCUUAACCUUCGGGAGGGCGCUUACCACUUUGUGAUUCAUGACUGGGGUGAAGUCGUAACAAGGUAACCGUAGGGGAACCUGCGGUUG